GAGUUUGAUCAUGGCUCAGAACGAACGCUGGCGGCAUGCCUAACACAUGCAAGUCGAACGAGACCUUCGGGUCUAGUGGCGCAUGGGUGCGUAACGCGUGGGAAUCUGCCCUUGGGUUCGGAAUAACAGUUAGAAAUGACUGCUAAUACCGGAUGAUGUCUUCGGACCAAAGAUUUAUCGCCCAGGGAUGAGCCCGCGUCGGAUUAGCUAGUUGGUGAGGUAAAGGCUCACCAAGGCGACGAUCGAUAUCCGGCCUGAGAGGGCGGACGGACACACUGGGACUGAGACACGGCCCAGACUCCUACGGGAGGCAGCAGUAGGGAAUUGUUCGCAAUGGGCGCAAGCCUGACGACGCAACGCCGCGUGGAGGAUGAAGACCUUCGGGUCGU
Molecule: ribosomal RNA, 389 nt
Filed under: uncultured Alphaproteobacteria bacterium
Lineage: Bacteria; Pseudomonadati; Pseudomonadota; Alphaproteobacteria
Description: bacterial SSU rRNA
Rfam family: Bacterial small subunit ribosomal RNA
Source: RNAcentral